GGAAGGAGCCAAGAGACUCUUGUGGACAGAGCCCGGUCGGGAGUUGGGCGUUUUCUCUUCGUGUGUUUUGGUGGUUUCCCCCCUGGUCUUUGACGAUCGCCCUUCGGGAGCCCUGCUAAGGAACCAAACCAUGAACUUGGGGCUGACCGGACCGCUUAACCCUUUGCGACCAGGCAUCAGAUGCCAGCUCUGAAAAACUCUUCAACACUGUUAUUGUAAACAAAGGUAAGACCCAUUCAUUCUCCUGAGUAAUGGCUUAUUUUUAUGUUAGUUUCAUUGUCAUUGCCUAGGAAGAGAGAAGAGCUAGAGUGAUCUUUCCCUUAUAAUUCUGAAGCUGCUGUUGAUGUUUCAUGUUUUUGCUUGAGAUGGAAGUCUGCAUACUUUGUGAUGCAUUAACAACCAGUUUAUUUUAAAAGAAUACAUUGAGUCCCUAUUUAAAUUGAUUUGACUAAUCACUACUACUAUGUGACUUUAAUAUAGAAAGCUGUACUAGAGAAGAAUAGUUCUCAAAAUGCCUGAACUUUAUUGUUGCUUAUCAACUACCCAGCAGUAGGAGAAAUAUAAAUAGCUGAUGUGCGUUGCAGACUCCAGUAAUCAAUGGAUGUUCAGAAUUCACAGUAUUAUGGUCAUAAACCAAGCCUUACUCUGCUGUGGGCUUUCUGUAAAGUUAAUAAACGGGCGAGAGGGCGGAAUUUAAAUAUGCACUAUCCCAUUAAUUUCUUCCAAACCACGAUCUAGAGUAAGAGAGGCUAAUGAUAUAGCAGUACAUUAAGGGAAAACUAACCUUAAAUCAUUGCCAGUAGGUUUCUGCGCAGUUUUCAUUUGUUAGCAGUAUUGUUGGAAAUAAGGAAAUUUAGGGGAGUCUCUAAUCACUGGCUCUGAAAGUGUGUAAUUUGAAAGGGACAAACCAUAUAAACUAUUUAAUCUUCCCCUUUCCACUGUCGAGCCUGAUUUAGGGGCUGGCAUGAUAAUUGCUAAGUAAAGAUGUGCUUUCUGUGAUAAUCUCUUUCUGGGUUACAUGGACGACACUUGGUAGCACUUGAACAGACUUGGGCCUUCACAAAGUGAAAUUUGAGACCAUUUCAGCC
RNAcentral lists this small RNA (1088 nucleotides) under Pongo abelii (Sumatran orangutan). RNAcentral describes it as "processed transcript". The record is from RNAcentral. Lineage: Eukaryota; Metazoa; Chordata; Mammalia; Primates; Hominidae.